GACGAACGCUGGCGGCGUGCUUAACACAUGCAAGUCGUACGGUAAGGCCCUUUCGGGGGUACACGAGUGGCGAACGGGUGAGUAACACGUGAGUAACCUGCCCACAACUUUGGGAUAACGCUAGGAAACUGGUGCUAAUACUGGAUAUGUGCUCCUGCUGCAUGGUGGGGGUUGGAAAGCUCCGGCGGUUGUGGAUGGACUCGCGGCCUAUCAGCUUGUUGGUGGGGUAGUGGCCUAUCAAGGCGGCGACGGGUAGCCGGCCUGAGAGGGUGACCGGCCACAUUGGGACUGAGAUACGGCCCAGACUCCUACGGGAGGCAGCAGUGGGGAAUAUUGCACAAUGGGCGCAAGCCUGAUGCAGCAACGCCGCGUGCGGGAUGACGGCCUUCGGGUUGUAAACCGCUUUCAGCAGGGACGAAGCUUUUUGUGACGGUACCUGCAGAAGAAGCACCGGCUAACUACGUG
This 465-nucleotide ribosomal RNA is filed under the name uncultured bacterium. Its description in RNAcentral is "partial 16S ribosomal RNA". It matches the Rfam family "Bacterial small subunit ribosomal RNA", at positions 28 to 507 of the family's 1533-position model. The record is from RNAcentral.